UACGGGAGGCAGCAGUAGGGAAUUUUCGGCAAUGGGCGCAAGCCUGACCGAGCAACGCCGCGUGAGUGAAGACGGCCUUCGGGUUGUAAAGCUCUGUUGUAAGGGAAGAACACUGGGGAGAGAAUCCACAGCUGACGGUACCUUACCAGAAAGCCACGGCUAACUACGUGCCAGCAGCCGCGGUAAU
RNAcentral lists this ribosomal RNA (187 nucleotides) under uncultured rumen bacterium. Its description in RNAcentral is "partial 16S ribosomal RNA". It matches the Rfam family "Bacterial small subunit ribosomal RNA", at positions 340 to 524 of the family's 1533-position model. The record is from RNAcentral.